UAGUAGCGGCGAGCGAAGCGGGAUGAGCUCAAAUUUGUAAUCUGGCAGCAAUGUCCGAGUUGUAAUCUAUAGAGUCGUUUUCGGUGCCGGACCGCGUCCAAGUCCCUUGGAACAGGGUAUCAAAGAGGGUGACAAUCCCGUACUUGACGUGACCACCGGGGCUGUGUGAUACGAUUUCUACGAGUCGAGUUGUUUGGGAAUGCAGCUCUAAAUGGGUGGUAAAUUCCAUCUAAAGCUAAAUAUUGGCGAGAGACCGAUAGCGAACAAGUACCGUGAGGGAAAGAUGAAAAGCACUUUGGAAAGAGAGUUAAAAGUACGUGAAAUUGUUGAAAGGGAAACGAUUGAAGUCAGUCGUGCGGCUUGGUUUCAGCGGGUUCUGCCCGUGCAUUACCAGGUCGCGGGUCAACAUCGGUUAAGUCUGGCGGAAAAAGAUUGGGGGAAGGUGGCACCCUCGGGUGUGUUAUAGCCCCCGGUUGCAUACGCUGGAUCUGACCGAGGACUGCGGUGUGCCUUCAUGGCAGGUCUUUUGACCUUC
This 535-nucleotide ribosomal RNA is filed under the name Bulleribasidium begoniae. Its description in RNAcentral is "eukaryotic LSU rRNA". It matches the Rfam family "Eukaryotic large subunit ribosomal RNA", at positions 81 to 628 of the family's 3401-position model. Lineage: Eukaryota; Fungi; Basidiomycota; Tremellomycetes; Tremellales; Bulleribasidiaceae. The record is from RNAcentral.